CCUCCUUUCUAAGGAUGAGUGAAAGUAAAAUUUCACUCUAAAUAAUAUACAUCGGUAAUGUUGACCGUCCUCAUUUCUCUUCUUAAAAUAAUGUUUCCUUCUUGUAGGGCCGGUAGCUCAGUUGGUUAGAGCACACCCUUGAUAAGGGUGGGGUCGAAAGUUCGAGUCUUUCUCGGCCCACCAAAAACCUAAAUGGGGGAUUAGCUCAUCUGGGAGAGCGCCUGAUUUGCAUUCAGGAGGUAGCAGGUUCGAUCCCUGUAUCCUCCACCAGGAAACAUUUAGUUAUUAAAACUGUAAAUAAAAAUAAUUUAUAUCAAUAUCUAUAUCCGAACAUUAAAAGUUAUUAUUUAAUGUUCAAAAUAAAAAUUUGAUCACA
This 376-nucleotide transfer RNA is filed under the name uncultured Pelagibacterales bacterium. RNAcentral's name for it is "partial 16S-23S ribosomal RNA intergenic spacer". The stretch from base 107 to 180 matches the Rfam family "tRNA". The record is from RNAcentral. Lineage: Bacteria; Pseudomonadati; Pseudomonadota; Alphaproteobacteria; Candidatus Pelagibacterales.